AUGCUGCCACUUGCGGAUGAGGUGGUAAUACCCAAGCUAUCUCUGGCUGCUUACUGGCAUUAACAACAGCUGGUCUGUAAGCCGCCUGAAAUAGUACCCCCUGGUAUUGGGGCUGACCAUUUGCCGGUGUCAUAGGAUUUUGUAACACCGGUGUCAUUACAGGCCCUUGUAAGCCUGUUACAGGUUGCUCAUUACGAAGUCAAAAAUUGCCCUAUUCGGGCAAUAUUCUCGUUGGAGGCCGUGAUUGCGGCCAAGACUGCAUCUAACCGUGCAGUGCUUCUAUUACUAUUUUGGUCCAAUACUUGUAAGACCCGUGUCAUUUGUCCAAGCGCUUGAGUCAAACUAGGUUCUUGUUGGUCAGAUUGACCACUAGUCUCACAUUCGAUAGGUAAGAUCGCUUGUCGUUCUCCAGCAUUAUCCGAAUUGCUGGGUUGAUCGCUCCCGGAAUUUCUAGGAACGAUCCUAUAGAGUAAAUUCAUGGUGUUAUCAUCAGCCAUAAUUUCAAUAAAAAUAAAAAUUUACCUAAAUUGUUGUCCCACUGGGCGUGCCAAAAUUUGUUAGGAGCCGAACGUCCUGACCCUUGACCUGGUCAAAGAUCUCCUUCGGGAAGAGUGUAGGGACUCGGAGCGGCUACGAUUAAUGACCCUCAAAGUUUGCGCCCUUUGACUAGAUCAAGCGAUUCGGCUGAUGAGAGAUCAUAUCAGCCGAGUUCGAAAAUCUUCACUCUAAAACCGGUUCGGCUGAAUGAGCUGAAUGUACAGACUGUAUAGGACUAGGGUCGGCUGAUGAGCCGAAUGGAUGGAACAACACAGCAACUGGUCGGCCGAAAGAGCCGAAUGCUUUUAUAUAUUAAAUUGAAAUUGGGAACUCAUACAAAAUAGAGUGUGCUCGAAGGGCAUACAGACUGAAAAUCUAGAUUACAAUAGAGUGUGCCCGUGGGGCAUUACAAACUCCAAAGAUCUAAUUUAAAACUACUCCUAGGAAAGCAGUAAAUGCGAGAACGUAAAAGAUUACAAGUAGAUUACUCCUAGAAAACGAUAAAUGCAGGAAAGGAAAGUAUUGAAAAUGCGGUGGUAUUCUCGUUCAGGGGUGAGAAAGACCCCUUUUACAAGCUUCAAAGUUACUAUUUAUAAUAUCUUAUCAGCCCAAAUUAUUGGUUGGUUAUAGUAGUGGGGGAAGUGGUGUAGUCAUGAUCAUGGAAAUUACGCCCCACUUCUCAUGGAAGUUACGCCCCACUUCUCAUCCGUUCCCGCCUAAACGCUCUUGACCUUUAGGUGCUUUAUUGCCGACUCCUGGUGUACCACUUGUCCUUAUUUCUUUGGCUCACACGUGGGUUAGGUCGGCGUGUUAAUUUUUUGGUAUCAACAUUGCCCCCCCAAUAGUCUUUCGAAUGAACGUUCGAAUGACUAUUGGUGCAAAAUCAACGGCUCAAUGACACAGCCGAGACCCGAGCUUAAUUUCGCUAGCCUUGGUCGGCUUAAAGGAAACGACUCUUUACCAUCCUAGCCGUAUAUGCCUCGGCUUCAUCAACCAAUUUUUUGCUUUUACUCUAUUGGUUCUGCUCUUCUUGAACCAACUGUUAUUCUAUCAAGGAUUUCUCUUUGAAGAAAGUGGCUCUUUACCAGCCGCAUAUACCUCGGCUUCAUCAGCCGAUUCUUCACUUUCACUCGAUUGGCUCGGCUCUUCUUGAACCGACUGUUCUUCUAUCAAGGAUUUCUCUUUGCCUUUGCUUUGCUUUUUAUAUCAGCUCCAUUGCAGCCUAUUGUCCUCACUUUCCUGCCGAAAUUGCUCAUAUUGGGUAACUCGAACACCUAGAUCAAAUAGGUUAGAAAAAUAUUUAUCUUCAAAAUGGUAUUUUAUCUUAAAAUGCAGACCAUUUAACGCCAUUUUGGCGAACUCUGAUUCCGGAAUUCUCAUAAAGCACUGGGUUUUGGCUAUUUUGAAACGGUUCAAAUACUCUUCGACUGUUUCACCUGACUUUUGUCGGUAUAAAGCCAAGUCGGCAAUCGAUAAUUGUGGCUCCGACCUAUAGAAUUGCUCAUAAAAUUUUCUUUCUAAUUCGUCCCAAUCUUGGACGGAAUUGGUUGAUAAACUUGUAUACCAAGUAAACGCCGUUUUAGUUAACGAUGUGUUAAAUAAUCGAAGUUUCAAAAAUGAGUCAGCUGCCGCUUCUCUACAUUGGGCCGUGAACCGGGCUAUAUGCUCGAUCGUAUUCUCGGUCUUAUCGCCUGAGAACUUGUCGAACUUCGGUAUUUUCUAGUUUGCCGGAUACGGAUGCUCCACAUCGAUGUUCGCAGGAUAAGGAGAUCUAAACACAGGCCGCAUUGCCGGUCUUGCGCCAACUCUGAAAGUAUUUCGGAUGGCUUCUUCAAUCUGUGCGUAUAUUUCAUUAUUGUUUCCUGGCAAAGGAACCUGUGCUUGUACUACAUUCGGUCCUUGCGGUAGACCGAAAUUCGGUAUAACAGGGUUAACUCCUUGCAUAUUCGGAGCCUGCCCCUCAGCUCUAGCCCCUACAUUUUGGGGCUGAUAUGCUGCCACGGGCGGAUGAGGUGGUAAUACUCAAGCUAUCUCUGGCUGCUGACCGGCAUUAACAACAGCCGGUCUGUAAGCCGCCUGAAAUAGUACCUCCUGGUAUUGGGGCUGACUAUUUGUCGGUGUUACAGGAUUUUGUAACACCGGUGUCAUUACAGGCCCUUGUAAGCCUGUUACAGGUUGCUCAUUACGAAGUCAAUAAUUGCCCUAUUCGGGCAAUAUUCUCGUUGGAGGUCGUGAUUGCGGCCAAGACUGC
RNAcentral lists this long non-coding RNA (2788 nucleotides) under Ananas comosus (pineapple). RNAcentral's name for it is "long non-coding RNA (ACOM_LNC039954)". Lineage: Eukaryota; Viridiplantae; Streptophyta; Magnoliopsida; Poales; Bromeliaceae. The record is from RNAcentral.